UACGUAGGGUGCAAGCGUUGUUCGGAAUUAUUGGGCGUAAAGGGCGCGUAGGCGGUGCGGUAAGUCUGUAGUGAAAUCUCUGGGCUCAACUCAGAGUCUGCUGCAGAAACUGCCGUGCUUGAGUGUGGGAGAGGAGAGUGGAAUUCCUGGUGUAGCGGUGAAAUGCGCAGAUAUCAGGAAGAACACCCGUGGCGAAAGCGGCUCUCUGGAACGGUACUGACGCUGAGACGCGAAAGCGUGGGGAGCGAACAGG
This 253-nucleotide ribosomal RNA is filed under the name uncultured bacterium. Its description in RNAcentral is "partial 16S ribosomal RNA". It matches the Rfam family "Bacterial small subunit ribosomal RNA", at positions 524 to 776 of the family's 1533-position model. The record is from RNAcentral.